AUUUCUUUGAAAAUUUCUGAAACAUUUAUUUAAAAAUUCAGUUAUAGGACUGGGGAUAUAGCUCAGUUGGUAGAGUGCUUGCUUCGCAUGCACAAGACCAUGGGUUCAAUCCCCAGCACCACAAAAAAAAAAAAAAAAAAUAUUCAAUUAUAGAAUGUUAUACUUCAAACAGAAGUUCUCUGGCUUCAUAUUUAAAAAUGUCUUUCUUGAUUUCCAUCACUUAUAUUUGAACAAAAUUCUGCUUGUAGUUCCAGUUCUGUUCUCUCUUCUCAUGACUGGUUUCUUAUUCCAAAGCAGGGUUUGUCCACCUCUGCACUAUGUACAUUCUGAGUCAGAUAAUUCUUUAUUGUGAGGGUUUUAUACAUUGUAGUCUAUUAAACAGAAUUGUCUGAACUCUGCCCACUAGAUACCAGUAGCAAUACCUGAUCAUGACAAAAAAUUUUCUGAAGUCAAGUUUAACCAGUUGUUCUGUAUUUUAUCUGACAACCCUACUCCCAAUUGAGAAACACUGAUUGAAGGCACCUUCUAACUCAGUGGUCUUCAACCUACAUUUGUAUAUUAGGAUCAUCCAAGAAAGCAUUUGAUAAUACUGAUGAUUCGGCCCCACUACCACAGAUUGAUUUCAUUAGGUCCCUGAGGUCCAGGCAUCAGCAUUUUUAAAAGAAUUUCCAAGUGCUUUAUUAUGCCAUUAGGGUACUCUAAAACUCAGUGGAAUAAAAAGGCAUUAAAGAAAUAAGAACAGGAUAUCAAUAUGAAUUUUAAGGAUUAAGGAAAUAUUUUUAGUAGGAGUGUCCUAAUCAGACCCAAAUCAAUUAAAGAAAGGAUUUGUUUGAGUCCCACUUCAUGAACCCUUUUCUGCUACUGCACCCUCAUCAGUCCUCCCUUAUAUUGAAUAGUACUUUGUUGUAUACUAGUAUACAAUUGUUUGGGGUUUUGAUUUGGGUUUUUCUUAAAUUUUGUCUCCCAUACUUAGAAAUUAGGAAUCCCAAUUUCCUACUGAAGAACAGCACUGAACUUGAAACAGUAACUUUUAUUCUCAUCCUCUGAUUACUAACCUGGGUAUUUUAAACUUACAUAGAUUUUUGUCUGCCCUCCAUUCUUUUUGUCAAUAGGAUAUAUGUAGACUGUUACUUCAUUAUCCAGUGGACUUAGAUAAAG
RNAcentral lists this long non-coding RNA (1158 nucleotides) under Marmota monax (woodchuck). Lineage: Eukaryota; Metazoa; Chordata; Mammalia; Rodentia; Sciuridae. The record is from RNAcentral.